Molecule: ribosomal RNA, 380 nt
Filed under: uncultured eukaryote
Lineage: Eukaryota
Description: partial 18S ribosomal RNA
Rfam family: Eukaryotic small subunit ribosomal RNA
Source: RNAcentral
CAAUAGCGUAUAUUAAAGUUGUUGCGGUUAAAAAGCUCGUAGUUGGAGUUCUGCCAGGUGCCGCCUGUCCGCCCCAGUGGUGAGUACGUGGCGCGCAUUUGGCCCUUUCAAGGGGAGCGUAUCUGCACUUUAUUGUGUGGUGCGGGAUCCUUGACUUUUACUUUGAGGAAAUAGGAGUGUUCCAAGCAGGCUCUCGUCGUGCACAGCUCAGCAUGGAAUAAUAGCAUUGGACCUCGAUUCUAAGCUGUUGGUUGCCAGAAGCGAGGUAAUGAUGAAGAGGGAUAGUUGGGGGCAUUCGUAUUUAACUGUCAGAGGUGAAAUUCUUGGAUUUGUUAAAGACGAACUACUGCGAAAGCAUUUGCCAAGGAUGUUUUCAUUGA